GCAGCUGUUGGAGGGGCGACGGCGGUGACGGUGAUGUUGGAAGGGGUGACGUCGGGUUGCUAGGGCGAUGGCGGGGUUGGCGACGGUGGCAGAGGUGAUGGCGGCAGCGGUGAUGGCAGGGAUGCAUAUGGCGACGGUAGCUCGGGCAACGGCGGGGAUGCAUAUGCCGACGGCGGCAGGGACGGCGCCGUGGAUGGUGAUGGUAGAAGGAGCAACGGCGGGUGGCUCGGUUGACGGCAGGGUUGGUGACGAUGGCUCAGGCACCGGUGGGGUUGGCAGCUGUUGGAGGGGCGACGGCGGUGACGGUGAUGUUGGAAGGGGUGACGUCGGGUUGCUAGGGCGAUGGCGGGGUUGGCGACGGUGGCAGAGGUUGUGGCGGCAGCGGUGAUGGCAGGGAUGCAUAUGGCAACGGUAGCUCGGGCAACGGCGGGGAUGCAUAUGCCGACGGCGGCAGGGACGGCGCCGUGGAUGGUGAUGGUAGAAGGAGCAACGGCGGGUGGCUCGGUUGACGGCAGGGUUGGUGACGAUGGCUCAGGCACCGGUGGGGUUGGCAGCUGUUGGAGGGGCGACGGCGGUGACGGUGAUGUUGGAAGGGGUGACGUCGGGUUGCUAGGGCGAUGGCGGGGUUGGCGACGGUGGCAGAGGUUGUGGCGGCAGCGGUGAUGGCAGGGAUGCAUAUGGCGACGGUAGCUCGGGCAACGGCGGGGAUGCAUAUGCCGACGGCAGCAGGGACGGCGCCGGGCAUGGUGAUGGUAGAAGGAGCAACGGCGGGUGGCUCGGUUGUCGGCAGGGUUGGUGACGAUGGCUCAGGCACCGGUGGGGUUGGCAGCUGUUGGAGGGGCGACGGCGGUGACGGUGAUGUUGGAAGGGGUGACGUCGGGUUGCUAGGGCGAUGGCGGGGUUGGCGACGGUGGCAGAGGUUGUGGCGGCAGCGGUGAUGGCAGGGAUGCAUAUGGCGACGGUAGCUCGGGCAACGGCGGGGAUGCAUAUGCCGACGGCAGCAGGGACGGCGCCGGGCAUGGUGAUGGUAGAAGGAGCAACGGCGGGUGGCUCGGUUGUCGGCAGGGUUGGUGACGAUGGCUCAGGCACCGGUGGGGUUGGCAGCUGUUGGAGGGGCGACGGCGGUGACGGUGAUGUUGGAAGGGGUGACGUCGGGUUGCUAGGGCGAUGGCGGGGUUGGCGACGGUGGCAGAGGUUGUGGCGGCAGCGGUGAUGGCAAGGAUGCAUAUGGCGACGGUAGCUCGGGCAACGGCGGGGAUGCAUAUGCCGACGGCGGCAGGGACGGCGCCGUGCAUGGUGAUGGUAGAAGGAGCAACGGCGGGUGGCUCGGUUGACGGCAGGGUUGGUGACGAUGGCUCAGGCACCGGUGGGGUUGGCAGCUGUUGGAGGGGCGACGGCGGUGACGGUGAUGUUGGAAGGGGUGACGUCGGGUUGCUAGGGCGAUGGCGGGGUUGGCGACGGUGGCAGAGGUGAUGGCGGCAGCGGUGACGGCAGGGAUGCAUAUGGCGACGGUAGCUCGGGCAACGGCGGGGAUGCAUAUGCCGACGGCGGCAGGGACGGCGCCGUGGAUGGUGAUGGUAGAAGGAGCAACGGCGGGUGGCUCGGUUGACGGCAGGGUUGGUGACGAUGGCUCAGGCACCGGUGGGGUUGGCAGCUGUUGGAGGGGCGACGGCGGUGACGGUGAUGUUGGAAGGGGUGACGUCGGG
RNAcentral lists this long non-coding RNA (1706 nucleotides) under Volvox carteri. RNAcentral's name for it is "long non-coding RNA (VCAR_LNC003960)". Lineage: Eukaryota; Viridiplantae; Chlorophyta; Chlorophyceae; Chlamydomonadales; Volvocaceae. The record is from RNAcentral.